This 429-nucleotide ribosomal RNA is filed under the name Bacteroidota bacterium. RNAcentral describes it as "Bacteroidetes bacterium partial 16S ribosomal RNA". It matches the Rfam family "Bacterial small subunit ribosomal RNA", at positions 355 to 776 of the family's 1533-position model. The record is from RNAcentral. Lineage: Bacteria; Pseudomonadati; Bacteroidota.
UAGGGAAUCUUCCGCAAUGGACGCAAGUCUGACGGAGCAACGCCGCGUGAGUGAAGAAGGAUUUCGGUUCGUAAAACUCUGUUGUUAGAGAAGAACAGCGCAUAGAGUAACUGUUAUGCGUGUGACGGUAUCUGACCAGAAAGCCACGGCUAACUACGUGCCAGCAGCCGCGGUAAUACGUAGGUGGCAAGCGUUGUCCGGAUUUAUUGGGCGUAAAGCGAGCGCCGGCGGUCAAUUAAGUCUGAUGUGAAAGCCCCCGGCUCAACCGGGGAGGGUCAUUGGAAACUGGUUGACUUGAGUGCAGAAGAGGAGAGUGGAAUUCCAUGUGUAGCGGUGAAAUGCGUAGAUAUAUGGAGGAACACCAGUGGCGAAGGCGACUCUCUGGUCUGUGACUGACGCUGAGGCUCGAAAGCGUGGGUAGCAAACAGG